AUGCUCCGUGCGUGUACAACCGAUCCAUGUGGAAACCCGGAACACCACAGGCGAGACGCCUCCCUCGGCACCCGGCGCAUGGACCGACCCUUCGCGGUCAGGCGCUGGCGCCGUUCCUGGGUUCGGCCCGGGCUCGACCAGCGACCGCGUCGGUUGCCGUCUCUUGUCCCUUGCACUAGGAUUUCCCCUCCUCUCCCUCCCUCCACGCGGUCCAGACCAGCCAAGACCAACAAACCGCUCCAAAAGAAAAGAGAAAAGAACACCUUUCUAUUUCCCACUUUCUUUAUUUUUCCUUCUGGAACGAGGAGCCAGAAGAAACACACACCGGAGCCGCGCCGGAGCCGUCCGCCGUGCCGGCCGCGAGCCAGCGCACCGCCGGGACCCCGCCCCGCCCCGCCCCUCGGAGGGUGGAGGAGAGGAGAGGGAGGACGAGGACGACGAGGAGGCCCCAGGAGUCCCGCGGGGGAAGCUUCUAGAAGCUGCCGGAGGCGGGGCGGGGGCGAGGGCAGCGCGAUCUCGCCCGAGCCUGCCGCGCGGAGGAGGCGCCGGGCAGGGCGCCUCCCGGGUGCCGGCGCCCCCAGUGACUUGAAUGGAAGGCAGAUCUCGAGGGCGAGGGAAGCUUCUAGAAGCGGGCUGAGGAGGCGCGGUUAGUUCGUUAGGGUUUGGCCUGGCGGUGGGAGGCGGGGCGGGAUGGGGGGAGGCUCGGAGGGUGGAGGAGACGCGGACGACGGCUGCUGCAGCGUCGGGGACACCUCGCCGGGGACCAUCGUGUGGGUGCGCCGGAGGAACGGCUCCUGGUGGCCCGGCAGGAUCCUGGGCCAAGCCGAGCUGCCGCCGUCGCAGAUCAUGUCUCCAAGGUCCGGCACGCCGGUCAAGCUUCUCGGCCGCGAGGACGCCAGCGUUGACUGGUACAACCUUGAGAAAUCAAAGCGCGUUAAAGCAUUUAGGUGUGGGGAGUUCGAUGCCUGCAUUGAGAGGGCAGAGGCUACUCAAGGGACUCUUUCGAAGAAAAGAGAGAAAUAUGCACGGAGAGAAGAUGCCAUUCUUCAUGCCCUUGAAUUAGAGAGGAAACUGCAUCAGACUCAAGGUUUCAGACCUGCCUACUUUUCUGCUUGCACGAAACAUCGCAAAGACCUUGGAAGUACUCGCUACAAGAGCAAAAAGAGGAAAAGAAAAGAUGUAUCUGCUCUUCCUGCAAAAAAAGAAGCUGGGCAGUAUUUUCUCAAUGCCGAUUUGAAGAUAAACUUUUCAGACUCGCAGGGUACCUCAGAGAAUCUUAUCAGUAAUCACAUUGGAGACUUAUCCCAUGUGAGACAUAUUCAGGGUGGAGCAAGUUUAGAGAGCAAGGAGAAUUGUACAAUUGUGAAAAAGAAUAGAUCGGAUGGAAGUGAUUUCGAUGAAUCUAUUGAAAAAUGUGACAGACACCGACCACUUGUUCAAGUCUUGCAGAGCAGUGCAAACUUGACGCAGCACUCGCCGCACAAUGAUGAUUACGGGGCUAUCUUAAUUGGGGGAGAUAAAGAUCCAUCACCUGCCACCUAUCGGGCUAAAAGAAGUAGAUAUGCAUACCUGCCUAGUGAUUCUGGUGAAACUCAUAGUCAUAGUGAUUUACCUUCUGCUCAAAUGGUUUCUACAGGAGCUGAUUUUGACACCGAAAGUUAUCUUCAGCAUCCAGAUUCCUCUUCUGAGGAACAUACAUCUUCGGACUUUGUUGAGAAACACGUAUCUGAGUCUUCAGAGAGGGAAUGCUCAGAAAGUGAAACAGAAGAUGAUGCGGAGCUUUUGCAAAGUGCUAAUAGGAUUCUGCCUCCAGAGUUACGCCCCCGUGAUCCUUAUUUCCUUCGGACUUCUGACAGGUUUGGGCAUGUGGAUAAUUAUGAUGAUGAUGAUGAUGAUGAUGACAAUGAGGUGGCCUAUUCUGCUUAUAUGCAUCAAUUGAAUCAAUCAGAGGAAGAGGAUGGUUCUUCUGAGCUGGGUGUCUCCCGAUGGCAUAUAAAAGGUAAACGUAAUAACCGUAGCGCAGUGAAGAAAUUAACCUAUAUGACGGAUGGAAAAUCCUGUUUGGAUAAACCCAAUGGUCUCAUGAAAGGAUCUGUGUACAACACAAAUGGUAUAAAUCAUAGAAAAGAGAGUGUGCAGACAUCCGAUCAGCAAGUGCUUAGGAACCAAAUCAAAGAGGAGCCCCACUAUGAUUCUGAUGAAACAGAUCUAUUCGAGGACACAAGCCAUCCUGAGGUUAACUUGUAUCAUAGUCGAACAUACCCAUCAUCCUUGAAAGCUACAAGAGAUCUUAGCCGAAGCUACAUUUAUUAUAAUGACUAUGAAAAUGAUUCUUCCAAGAUUUCUCCACUUAACUGGGAUACAGAUCAGAUAUUUCGUGUUGAUCGGAAGGCAUAUUGGGACGAACCUUCAUUUUACCAAAGAAAUGGCAGUUCACGUUUGGGUCGCAUGGGCCCAAUGUUGUUUGAUAUCGACUUGAAGGUCCAAGCCAGCUACCAUGGAGAGCAUGUUCCUCUUGUUUCCUUGAUGAGCAGACUGGAUGGCAAAGCAAUUGUUGGACACCCUAUCCAAAUUGAAAUACUUGUAGAUGGUUCCACUGACCACCUGGUUUCUGGUGGUGAUAUUAGUAUGGAAGAGAGCACAGGAGCUCCAACUGCUUGGCGUACAGGCAGGAGGACAGCCAUGCAAAGAAUUCCCCGUUCUAAUCCUUUAGGAGCAUCAAUGGACUGUGGCAAUGAAGGCAGGCUUGCAUAUCCAGACUGGGAAAUGAAACCAGUCUUCAGUAAAUACUCAACUUCUGCAAAUCACCAGGUUAAGAAAAGCAUGUCAAAUAGCAAGCAGAGGUCAUCGGCAUCCAAAUCUCAAAAGAAGCCAUCCAAGAAGGCAAGUCUGUCAAGCCAGAAGGUCAGAACCCUCUCUUCCAUCCCCACUGGAAGAAGGCAUCAUGGAGGUGGCACUCAAGCAAAGCCGCGUACGCACAGUGGCAUUUUCAGUGACUUGAUCAAACCAGACGGAGCAAUUCCACCAGUUACAUGCGUCCCCGCAAAGGUUGUGUUCACAAGGAUACUGGAAGCAGUUGGCAGGCCACCUCUAGCUGCUGCUCGCCGUGUGAGAAUGGUUAGUCCUGAGGCACGAGAUCCAACAUAGGAAUCAACUGAAAUGCCAAGUAUGGUUGGUAUCUGUGUCCUGCAAGUUCCGUGUACAUUUAUGUAAAUUGAAGAGUCAAGCUAUUCAAUCAUUUGGGCUGCAUCAUCUGGAUAACUCAGGGAUAGCUGCGCUCUUCAACGGUAAUGACAACAUCAACAUGUAAAGAUUGGUAACGGUUAUAUACUUCUAACUGGAGGUUGAGAUCAAUUAGGCUCUCAACACGAGUGCUUCUCAGUUCUCGGACAACAGUUCAGCCAGCGACCUCCACUAAGGGGGAGCAUCCUUUAGAAGGGCGCAACUAGCGUUGGUAACCAUGGCUUUUGGCAGUGUCUCCUGUAAAGUACUAACUUCAGCAUUUUAGGAUGUCUAUUUAUAUAAACUUCUGUAUCGUCAUGUAGUCAAUAGGCCAUAUAUUUCCUGAUGUCAUGUAUAAGUCCUCAAUUGUAUUCUCACCAGAUCUCCGUGUUAUUUAUUGUCGAUGGUUAAUAGGUCCUCCGACUGUAUGUUUGGAAGAAUGUGUAGUAAGUUGAUGUAAUAUGUGAGAACUACACCGGUCACCGGAUGAUGUUAACAGUCUAAUUUUCUCUGUGAAGCUUACAUGAAUAC
Molecule: ribosomal RNA, 3753 nt
Filed under: Triticum aestivum (bread wheat)
Lineage: Eukaryota; Viridiplantae; Streptophyta; Magnoliopsida; Poales; Poaceae
Description: partial small subunit ribosomal RNA
Source: RNAcentral